UAGUUUGAUCCUGGCUCAGAUUGAACGCUGGCGGCAGGCCUAACACAUGCAAGUCGAACGGUAACAGGAAGCAGCUUGCUGCUUUGCUGACGAGUGGCGGACGGGUGAGUAAUGUCUGGGAAACUGCCUGAUGGAGGGGGAUAACUACUGGAAACGGUGGCUAAUACCGCAUAACGUCGCAAGACCAAAGAGGGGGACCUUCGGGCCUCUUGCCAUCAGAUGUGCCCAGAUGGGAUUAGCUAGUUGGUGAGGUAACGGCUCACCAAGGCGACGAUCCCUAGCUGGUCUGAGAGGAUGACCAGCCACACUGGAACUGAGACACGGUCCAGACUCCUACGGGAGGCAGCAGUGGGGAAUAUUGCACAAUGGGCGCAAGCCUGAUGCAGCCAUGCCGCGUGUAUGAAGAAGGCCUUCGGGUUGUAAAGUACUUUCAGCGGGGAGGAAGGUGUUGUGGUUAAUAACCACAGCAAUUGACGUUACCCGCAGAAGAAGCACCGGCUAACUCCGUGCCAGCAGCCGCGGUAAUACGGAGGGUGCAAGCGUUAAUCGGAAUUACUGGGCGUAAAGCGCACGCAGGCGGUCUGUCAAGUCGGAUGUGAAAUCCCCGGGCUCAACCUGGGAACUGCAUUCGAAACUGGCAGGCUUGAGUCUUGUAGAGGGGGGUAGAAUUCCAGGUGUAGCGGUGAAAUGCGUAGAGAUCUGGAGGAAUACCGGUGGCGAAGGCGGCCCCCUGGACAAAGACUGACGCUCAGGUGCGAAAGCGUGGGGAGCAAACAGGAUUAGAUACCCUGGUAGUCCACGCCGUAAACGAUGUCUACUUGGAGGUUGUGCCCUUGAGGCGUGGCUUCCGGAGCUAACGCGUUAAGUAGACCGCCUGGGGAGUACGGCCGCAAGGUUAAAACUCAAAUGAAUUGACGGGGGCCCGCACAAGCGGUGGAGCAUGUGG
This 946-nucleotide ribosomal RNA is filed under the name Salmonella enterica. Its description in RNAcentral is "bacterial SSU rRNA". It matches the Rfam family "Bacterial small subunit ribosomal RNA", at positions 9 to 944 of the family's 1533-position model. The record is from RNAcentral. Lineage: Bacteria; Pseudomonadati; Pseudomonadota; Gammaproteobacteria; Enterobacterales; Enterobacteriaceae.